Molecule: ribosomal RNA, 465 nt
Filed under: uncultured bacterium
Lineage: Bacteria
Description: partial 16S ribosomal RNA
Rfam family: Bacterial small subunit ribosomal RNA
Source: RNAcentral
GACGAACGCUGGCGGCGUGCUUAACACAUGCAAGUCGAACGGAAAGGCCCCUUCGGGGGUACUCGAGUGGCGAACAGGUGAGUAACACGUGAGUAACCUGCCCUUGACUUCGGGAUAACUUCAGGAAACUGGGGCUAAUACCGGAUAGGAAUCCUUGCUGCAUGGUGGGGGUUGGAAAGCUUCGGCGGUUUUGGAUGGACUCGCGGCUUAUCAGCUUGUUGGUGGGGUAGUGGCUUACCAAGGCUUUGACGGGUAGCCGGCCUGAGAGGGCGACCGGCCACAUUGGGACUGAGAUACGGCCCAGACUCCUACGGGAGGCAGCAGUGGGGAAUAUUGCACAAUGGGCGGAAGCCUGAUGCAGCAACGCCGCGUGCGGGAUGACGGCCUUCGGGUUGUAAACCGCUUUCAGCAGGGGCGAAGCUUGUGGUGACGGUACCUGCAGAAGAAGCACCGGCUAACUACGUG